GGGGGUCGCGAUGAGUAAUGCCUAGGAAUCUGCCUGGUAGUGGGGGACAACGUUUCGAAAGGAACGCUAAUACCGCAUACGUCCUACGGGAGAAAGCAGGGGACCUUCGGGCCUUGCGCUAUCAGAUGAGCCUAGGUCGGAUUAGCUAGUUGGUGAGGUAAUGGCUCACCAAGGCGACGAUCCGUAACUGGUCUGAGAGGAUGAUCAGUCACACUGGAACUGAGACACGGUCCAGACUCAUACGGGAGGCAGCAGUGGGGAAUAUUGGACAAUGGGCGAAAGCCUGAUCCAGCCAUGCCGCGUGUGUGAAGAAGGUCUUCGGAUUGUAAAGCACUUUAAGUUGGGAGGAAGGGUUGUAGAUUAAUACUCUGCAAUUUUGACGUUACCGACAGAAUAAGCACCGGCUAACUCUGUGCCAGCAGCCGCGGUAAUACAGAGGGUGCAAGCGUUAAUCGGAAUUACUGGGCGUAAAGCGCGCGUAGGUGGUUCGUUAAGUUGGAUGUGAAAUCCCCGGGCUCAACCUGGGAACUGCAUUCAAAACUGUCGAGCUAGAGUAUGGUAGAGGGUGGUGGAAUUUUUCU
This 581-nucleotide ribosomal RNA is filed under the name Pseudomonas reinekei. RNAcentral describes it as "bacterial SSU rRNA". It matches the Rfam family "Bacterial small subunit ribosomal RNA", at positions 96 to 673 of the family's 1533-position model. Lineage: Bacteria; Pseudomonadati; Pseudomonadota; Gammaproteobacteria; Pseudomonadales; Pseudomonadaceae. The record is from RNAcentral.